AGGAGAUACGCAAAUGACGCAGUCAUUGCUAUAGUGCGUAUCGACGAUAUGCCGCCGAGCGAAAGCGAGGGGGCGAUACCGAU
RNAcentral lists this small RNA (83 nucleotides) under bovine gut metagenome. Its description in RNAcentral is "GA-cis RNA". It matches the Rfam family "GA-cis RNA". The record is from RNAcentral.